Molecule: long non-coding RNA, 276 nt
Organism: Bubalus bubalis (water buffalo)
Lineage: Eukaryota; Metazoa; Chordata; Mammalia; Artiodactyla; Bovidae
Exons: 3
Source: RefSeq, a predicted model, not a curated record
GAACCCAGAGGAUCAAAGUGAGACCAUUCAAGACAGAACCCAGGCCAGCCACCAUGCUGUCUAACUCUUCAAAGUAAAGAAUAUGCACAGGUUUAUGGAGCUAUAAUUGACAGAAAGAUGCCGCUGGAAAUCACCAUUCUGUUUCCUGUUUCUACAAGUUCAACUUUGUUGUUGCUCAGUCGCUAAGUCGUGUCCGACUCUUUGCAACCCCAUGGACUGCAGCACACCAGGCUUUCCUGUCCUUCACUAUGUCCUGGAGUUUGCUCCAAGUCAUGC